Molecule: ribosomal RNA, 395 nt
Filed under: uncultured bacterium
Lineage: Bacteria
Description: partial 16S ribosomal RNA
Rfam family: Bacterial small subunit ribosomal RNA
Source: RNAcentral
AUACGAAGGGGGCUAGCGUUGCUCGGAAUCACUGGGCGUAAAGGGUGCGUAGGCGGGUUUUUAAGUCAGGGGUGAAAUCCUGGGGCUCAACUCCAGAACUGCCUUUGAUACUGAAGAUCUUGAGUCCGGGAGAGGUGAGUGGAAUUGCGAGUGGAGAGGUGAAAUUCGUAGAAAUUGGAAAGAACACCAGUGGCGAAGGCGGCUCAGUGCCCCGGUGAGGACGCUGAGGCACGAAAGCGUGGGGAGCAAAAAGGAGUAGAUCCCCUGGGAGUCCCCGCCGAAAACGAUGAAUGCCAGCCGUUAGUGGGUUUACUCACUAGUGGCGCAGCUAACGCGUUAAGCAUUCCGCCUGGGGAGUACGGUCGCAAGAUUAAAACUCAAAGGAAUUGGCGGGG